UACGAGGGGGGCAAAUGUUGUUCGGAAUCACUGGGCGUAAAGGGAGCGUAGGCGGGUUCUUAAGUAAGGUGUUUAAUCCCGGGGCCCAACCCCGGACCGGCACUUUAAACUGGGAAUCUUGAAUAGUGGAGAGGUCGGUGGAAUUGGGGGUGUAGCGGUGGAAUGCGUAGAGAUCCCCAAGAACACCAGUUGCGAAGGCGGCCGACUGGACACAUAUUGACGCUGAGGCUCGAAAGCGUGGGGAUCAAACAGG
Molecule: ribosomal RNA, 253 nt
Filed under: uncultured bacterium
Lineage: Bacteria
Description: partial 16S ribosomal RNA
Rfam family: Bacterial small subunit ribosomal RNA
Source: RNAcentral